UGAAUACGAGAUGCUACGGCGUCGAAGCAGUCUAUGUCAUACUUCCAAGAAAAGCUUGCACUGUCAUAAACAAAUAAUGCCUGUACCAUAACCGACACAGGUGGGUAGGUAGAGUAUACUAAGGGGCGCGAGAUAACUCUCUCUAAGGAACUCGGCAAAAUGACUCCGUAACUUCGGGAGAAGGAGUGCCUUAUUUUAUAAGGUUGCAAUAACAAGAUCCAAGCAACUGUUUACCAAAAACACAGGUCUCCGCUAAGUCGUAAGACGAUGUAUGGGGGCUGACGCCUGCCCAGUGCCAGAAGGUUAAAGAAGUUGGUUAGCAUCCGCGAAGCUGAUAACUGAAGCCCUGGUGAACGGCGGCCGUAACGAUAACGGUCCUAAGGUAGCGAAAUUCCUUGUCGGGUAAGUUCCGACCCGCACGAAAGGCGUAAUGAUUUGGAUACUGUCUCAGAGAGGGGCUCGGUGAAAUAGACUUGUCUGUGAAGAUGCGGACUACCUGCACCAGGACAGAAAGACCCUAUGAAGCUUUACUGUAACUUGAAAUUGAAAUUGGACUUUACUUGCGCAGUAUAGGUGGGAGGCGUUGAGAAUAUUCUUGCGGGAAUGUUGGAGCCAUCAGUGAGAUACCACUCUUGUAAUGUUAGAUUUCUAACUUUGUAUCAUUAUCUGGUCAAAGGACAGUUUCAGGCGGGCAGUUUGACUGGGGCGGUCGCCUCCCAAACGGUAACGGAGGCGCACAAAGGUUUCCUCUGAACGGGUAGAAAUCGUAUCUAGAGUGUAAAGGCAUAAGGAAGCUUGACUGUGAGACCUACAAGUCGAGCAGGGACGAAAGUCGGUCUUAGUGAUCUGACGGUGCUGAGUGGAAAGGCCGUCACUCAACGGAUAAAAGUUACUCUAAGGAUAACAGGCUGAUCUCCCCCAAGAGUUCACAUCGACGGGGAGGUUUGGCACCUCGAUGUCGGCUCAUCGCAUCCUGGGGCGGUAGUACGUCCCAAGGGUUGGGCUGUUCGCCCAUGAAAGCGGUACGCGAGCUGGGUUCAGAACGUCGUGAGACAGUUCGGUCCAUAUCCGGUGUAGGCGUUAGAAUAUUGAGAGGAGCCUUCUUUAGUACGAGAGGACCGAGAAGGACAUACCUCUGGUGUACCAGUUAUCGUGCCAACGGUAAACGCUGGGUAGCUAUGUAUGGAGUGGAUAACCGCUGAAAGCAUCUAAGUGGGAAGCCCACCUCAAGAUAAGUAUUCUC
This 1243-nucleotide ribosomal RNA is filed under the name metagenome. RNAcentral describes it as "bacterial LSU rRNA". It matches the Rfam family "Bacterial large subunit ribosomal RNA", at positions 1564 to 2815 of the family's 2925-position model. The record is from RNAcentral.